UUUAGCCGGAUGAAAGGAAACUUUCACGUCCGAUUUUUAGGGGGGGGGGGGGGGGAGAUCCUAUCCCAAU
This 70-nucleotide non-coding RNA is filed under the name Helianthus annuus (common sunflower). The record is from RNAcentral. Lineage: Eukaryota; Viridiplantae; Streptophyta; Magnoliopsida; Asterales; Asteraceae.